AACGAACGCUGGCGGCAUGCCUAACACAUGCAAGUCGAACGAGACCUUCGGGUCUAGUGGCGCACGGGUGCGUAACGCGUGGGAACCUGCCCUUAGGUUCGGAAUAACUCCCCGAAAGGGGUGCUAAUACCGGAUAAUGUCUUCGGACCAAAGAUCUAUCGCUUUUGGAUGGGCCCGCGUUGGAUUAGUUAGUUGGUAGGGUAAAAGCCUGCCAAGGCGACGAUGCAUAGCUGGUGUGGGAGGAUGAUCAGCCACGCUGGAACUGCGACACGGCCCAGACUGGUAGGGGAGGGAGCAGUGGGGAAUAUUGGGGGAGGGGCGAAAGCCUGAUACAGCAAUGCCGGGUGAGUGAGGAAGGGGGUAGGGUUGUAAAGCUCUUUUAGCCGGGAUGAUAAUGACGGUACCGGGUGAAGAAGCUCCGGCUAACUCCGUG
This 433-nucleotide ribosomal RNA is filed under the name uncultured bacterium. Its description in RNAcentral is "partial 16S ribosomal RNA". It matches the Rfam family "Bacterial small subunit ribosomal RNA", at positions 29 to 507 of the family's 1533-position model. The record is from RNAcentral.